Long non-coding RNA from Thalassophryne amazonica, 214 nucleotides. RefSeq lists it as uncharacterized. The record is from RefSeq and is a predicted model, not a curated record. The transcript is spliced from 2 exons. Lineage: Eukaryota; Metazoa; Chordata; Actinopteri; Batrachoidiformes; Batrachoididae.
AAACUGUUUCUGGUAUUCCAAAUCAUGGAAUGAUUUGUUUUCUCGAGAUCAUGAAAUAAUUGUUUUGUUUUUUCGAAAUCACGGAAUAAAAGUGUUGUUUUCUCGAGAUUCUGAAUUAAUUAUGUCAUUAUCACGGGAUAACGGUUUGUUUUCUCGAGAUCUCUAAUUAAUUAUGUCGUUAUCUCGGGAUAACAAGGUGAAUUUAAAAAGUAUU